GACGAACGCUGGCGGCGUGCCUAAUACAUGCAAGUCGAACGCUGAAGGAGGAGCUUGCUUCUCUGGAUGAGUUGCGAACGGGUGAGUAACGCGUAGGUAACCUGCCUGGUAGCGGGGGAUAACUAUUGGAAACGAUAGCUAAUACCGCAUAAGAGUAGAUGUUGCAUGACAUUUGCUUAAAAGGUGCAAUUGCAUCACUACCAGAAGGACCUGCGUUGUAUUAGCUAGUUGGUGGGGUAACGGCUCACCAAGGCGACGAUACAUAGCCGACCUGAGAGGGUGAUCGGCCACACUGGGACUGAGACACGGCCCAGACUCCUACGGGAGGCAGCAGUAGGGAAUCUUCGGCAAUGGACGGAAGUCUGACCGAGCAACGCCGCGUGAGUGAAGAAGGUUUUCGGAUCGUAAAGCUCUGUUGUAAGAGAAGAACGAGUGUGAGAGUGGAAAGUUCACACUGUGACGGUAUCUUACCAGAAAGAGACGGCUAACUACGUG
RNAcentral lists this ribosomal RNA (495 nucleotides) under uncultured bacterium. Its description in RNAcentral is "partial 16S ribosomal RNA". It matches the Rfam family "Bacterial small subunit ribosomal RNA", at positions 28 to 507 of the family's 1533-position model. The record is from RNAcentral.